RNAcentral lists this transfer RNA (88 nucleotides) under Bacillota bacterium. RNAcentral describes it as "Firmicutes bacterium (anaerobic digester metagenome) tRNA-Leu". It matches the Rfam family "tRNA". From Rfam's summary of the family: Transfer RNA (tRNA) molecules are approximately 80 nucleotides in length. Lineage: Bacteria; Bacillati; Bacillota. RNAcentral also lists the same sequence under 1 other name. The record is from RNAcentral.
GCCGGAGUGACGGAAUGGCAGACGUUGGGGACUUAAAAUCCUCUGGGUUUAAACACCCGUGCGGGUUCGACUCCCGCCUCCGGCACCA